RNAcentral lists this ribosomal RNA (254 nucleotides) under uncultured bacterium. RNAcentral's name for it is "partial 16S ribosomal RNA". It matches the Rfam family "Bacterial small subunit ribosomal RNA", at positions 524 to 776 of the family's 1533-position model. The record is from RNAcentral.
UACGUAGGGAGCGAGCGUUGUCCGGAUUUAUUGGGCGUAAAGAGCGCGUAGGCGGCUUGGUAAGCCGGAUGUGAAACCUCCAAGCUUAACUUGGAGCGGCCAUUCGGAACUGCCAUGGCUAGAGUCUGGUAGGGGAACACGGAAUACCUGGUGUAGCGGUGAAAUGCUUAGAUAUCAGGUGGAACACCAGUGGCGAAGGCGGUGCUCUGGGCCAGUACUGACGCUGAGGCGCGAAAGCGUGGGGAGCGAACAGG